UGGAGGCAUCAAAGGCGUUGCAAAUUGAGACCAGACGGGCCAGUGAAACGAAAAGUUCAGACAUAUUGCUCCUUCCUCUUGCCAAUGGACCAUCCCGUUUCCGAUGGACUUAAAAAAAUUCUGGAGGACAUGACAUAUGAUGCUGUUACACGACGGGUGAAAUCCAACCAACUGAUUCUGUCAUUGGGUGAGAGGAUGUUCCUGAAAAAUGGAGAAGUUGGAUGCCAUCGAGCAGAUAUGAGAAAUAAAAUGCGAGAACUUACCAGACUUGUUCUGGUGGCAAGAGAUCUUGACAAAGACACUGUUUUCCUGAAGGACUUGAUUACCCCGGCUAAAUUUAACACUGUGCUUGCGGCAGUGAAAAAGAUGACAGGAUUUGACCACCUAACAAACAGAUUUGCAGUUCCCUCAACUGCACUAAAACUACGCCAUUCCCCGAUGAAGGUCUGAUAUAUUUUGUAGGGAGAGGCUCUGCGACUAGAGGAUGACAUCUUAAAGGCACAAGCAGAACAUUUCAGCAAAUUAAUUCAACUGGAAUGGACAACCCACGUGCCAUCAAAUGCAUUAAAAACGUUGUACCAGAGGAAAUGGAACAAGCCACAAGUACUGCCUCUUGCCAAGGACAUAAAGAAGCUCCAGGACCACUUGAAAACUGCUGUGGAGGUCAGCAGAAAGUCCCUCCUGGAGUGUCCAUCAUCAAACGCAUGGAAUAAUCUUUCUCAAGCAACUUUGACACAGCUGACCCUCUUCAACUGGCAUCGUGAAGGAGAGGUUUCCAGGAUGGAGGUCGAAACAUACCGACACAGAAACAAACACAUUAUGCAAGAUGAAAUUCUGCAGAGCCUCACAGCCUUUGAAAAAAAAUUGUGUGAAAACCUCACCAGGAUAGAAGUGCGUGGGAAAAGAGGACGCAAAGUACCAAUACUCCUUUCAACAGAUGCAAAAGAAUCCAUAGAUCUUCUGAUCAACACUAGAGACAAUGUUGGGGUUUCUCCAAGCAACCCCUACAUUUUUGCCUGUCCUGUCAAAGAGUCUGUGGAGCCUAUUCGUGGAUGUGACACUUUAAGGCGAUAUGCACAAAGCUGUGGGGCUAAGCAUCCAGAAAAUAUCCCCUCCACUACACUAAGAAAGCAUGUGGCUACAGUUUCACAGCUUUUAAACUUAGAAGAUAAUGAACUGGACCAGCUGGCAACAUUCAAGGGACACAACAUUAAUGUGCAUAGGAAGUUUUACAAAAUGCCUGAAGCAACUCUGCAAGUGACAAAAGCAGAAUUCUGUUUGCCAUCCAAAAUGGAAUGGGCAAAUUCAAAGGAUAAUCCCUGGAGGACAUUAUCCCAAACAUUGACUAUGGCUCCAGUGACUCAGAAACAGAAAAUUUUCACUCUAAAGACCAGUCUGCCCCUACAGAUGAGGAUGUGGUUUCAGGAAACUUGGAUGCGGAGGAUUCAGAAGAAAGGGCUACUCUUUCAAGAAGGACUGA
Molecule: long non-coding RNA, 1480 nt
Organism: Acanthochromis polyacanthus (spiny chromis)
Lineage: Eukaryota; Metazoa; Chordata; Actinopteri; Pomacentridae
Exons: 3
Source: RefSeq, a predicted model, not a curated record